RNAcentral lists this ribosomal RNA (488 nucleotides) under uncultured bacterium. Its description in RNAcentral is "bacterial SSU rRNA". It matches the Rfam family "Bacterial small subunit ribosomal RNA", at positions 28 to 497 of the family's 1533-position model. The record is from RNAcentral.
GAUGAACGCUAGCGGCAGGCUUAAUACAUGCAAGUCGAGGGGCAUCAAGGUACACGAAAGUGUAUUGUUGGCGACCGGCGGACGGGUGAGUAAUAGGUAGGUAACCUACCUCAUACUGAGGCAUAGCUGGGAGAAAUUCCAGGUAAUUCCUCAUGAGGUUAUAUGACACAUGUGAUAUAAUCAAAGGUAUCGCAAGGUACUGGUAUGAGAUGGGCUUACUGACCAUUAGCUAGUUGGUGAGAUAAGAGCUCACCAAGGCGAAGAUGGUUAGGGGUUUUGAGAGAGAGAUCCCCCACAUUGGAACUGAGAUACGGUCCAGACUCCUACGGGAGGCAGCAGUAGGGAAUAUUGGGCAAUGGGCGGAAGCCUGACCCAGCCAUGCCGCGUGAAGGAAGACGGCCUUAUGGGUUGUAAACUUCUUUACUAUGCGAACUAACUAGUAUUUACGAGAUAAUUCUAUAGAAUGUAGCAUAGACAAAAGCACCGGA